RNAcentral lists this ribosomal RNA (1176 nucleotides) under Triticum aestivum (bread wheat). RNAcentral's name for it is "partial small subunit ribosomal RNA". The record is from RNAcentral. Lineage: Eukaryota; Viridiplantae; Streptophyta; Magnoliopsida; Poales; Poaceae.
AUGUCUUGUUACCCACAACAUCUGACCGAGCUGGUGUCCACGGAGAUCCUCCUCCGGCUCCCCGUGAAUUCGCUGCUGCGGUUCAGGUGUGUUUGCAAGGCAUGGCGCGACACCAUUGACAAUGAUUUCUUUGUCCGCGCACACCUCCGCCUCCGCGCCGCCCAGAACACGUUCACGCUCAUCGCCCCACAUGUUAAGGGGGAUGGCGGGAUCACCGCCGCCGGCUUGUAUAGGUGGGAGCAGGGCGUCAAGGCCGACGGCGACGACAGGAAUACCGCCGCCGCCGCUGGCCUGUACCCGUGGGAGCAGGACACCGCCACCCUCGUACACCCCAUGGGCGCCGACUACUCCGUCCCGGGCACGACGAAUGUUUCCCACGACCUUGCGCACUGUGACGGGCUGGUGCUGGUGCCUUCCGACGCCAUGGGCCAUCAGGCUUUCGGCCUCGGCCAUGACCCUCGCUCCAAAGCUUACAAGGUUGCUCGCUUCUUCUACCGCUCCAUGGAAGGGCCCGUGGACAACCCUAACCACUACACCCUCGGGAUGGAGGUGCUCACCGUCGGAGCGGCGGACCAGCGUUGGCGAGAGACGGCAGCGCCUCCACCUUACCCUGUCUUGCCAGGCCGAACCGCCACCUUCUUCAAGGACUCGUUGCUUUGGACCGUCGAGGAGUUGCUACUCCGGGAAGCGCCGGGAUUCAUCCGCUUCAAGUUAGAAGACGAGUCGUUCGGUGUCCUGCCAGGGCCUCCUUGCAGCCCGAGCCUGGACUACGCGGCUGCGAGCUUAGCCGAGCUGCGUGGGGAGCUGUGCGUGUGCGUGCCUCGUCACGAGGCUGACUACGGCGACGGUUCGCACGAGACGUGGAUCUGCCGCGACUUGGACGACGCGCCACAAUGGGAGCCACGCCAUGUCAUCGAGAUACACACUUUUCCACGACUCCGAUGUCUACGUCCAAUAGCUGCCUACACUGACGUGCUAGUGCUCCAUGCCGAACCCUGCUAUCUCUGCCGUGAAACUCAAGAACCUGGGAGGAGCAAGGAAGAAGAAAGGGCUCCGCUUCACAUGCAGCUCCAGUUGAGGUAUUACCACCCUGACACGGGCGUGUUUGUUGAAUACCCAACGGAGACAUGUGCCUUUCAAGUAAUCUCAUACGUUCCAAGUUUAGUUCCCGUCUAG